CAGGAGAUCCCACGCCAGACCUCGGGGAAUGACUGUGGUGUUUUCAUGCUCAUGUACUCCCUCUGGCUCUGUACGGACACUACUUUUCACUACAGUGUGCUGGACAUGCAGUCAAUCCGGCAUUGGUGGUGUGUCCUUCUAAUGGAGCGCUUUGGCAUUGAAGGGUAGGACAACUUCUUGAAAUAUCUGAUGUAUUGUUUAUCAUGAUUAGUAACUGCCUGCGAUGAGGUGGCGACUUGUCCAGGGUGUACCCUGCCUUCCGCCCGAAUGCAGCUGAGAUAGGCUACAGCGACCCCCCGCGACCCCAAAAAGGGACAAGCGGUAGAAAAUG
Molecule: long non-coding RNA, 331 nt
Organism: Entelurus aequoreus (snake pipefish)
Lineage: Eukaryota; Metazoa; Chordata; Actinopteri; Syngnathiformes; Syngnathidae
Exons: 3
Source: RefSeq, a predicted model, not a curated record